RNAcentral lists this ribosomal RNA (448 nucleotides) under uncultured Gemmata sp. RNAcentral's name for it is "bacterial SSU rRNA". It matches the Rfam family "Bacterial small subunit ribosomal RNA", at positions 334 to 795 of the family's 1533-position model. The record is from RNAcentral. Lineage: Bacteria; Pseudomonadati; Planctomycetota; Planctomycetia; Gemmatales; Gemmataceae.
GGCCCUACGGGUGGCUGCAGUCGAGGAUCUUCGGCAAUGGGCGCAAGCCUGACCGAGCGACGCCGCGUGGGCGAUGAAGGCCUUCGGGUUGUAAAGCCCUGUCGAGAGGGAGAAAGGGAAACUUGAUCUAUCUCUGGAGGAAGCACGGGCUAAGUUCGUGCCAGCAGCCGCGGUAAGACGAACCGUGCGAACGUUGUUCGGAAUCACUGGGCUUAAAGGGCGCGUAGGCGGGUCGCCAAGUUUGGGGUGAAAUCCUCCCGCUCAACGGGAGAACGGCCUUGAAUACUGGCGAUCUCGAGGGGGAUAGGGGCAUGCGGAACUACGGGUGGAGCGGUGAAAUGCGUUGAUAUCCGUAGGAACUCCGGUGGCGAAGGCGGCGUGCUGGAUCCCUUCUGACGCUGAGGCGCGAAAGCCAGGGGAGCAAACGGGAUUAGAUACCCCGGUAGUC